GCUAGCUUGCUAGUAGGCGACGAGUGGCGCACGGGUGAGUAACGCGUGGGAACCUGCCUUUUUCUGCGGGAUAACGGUUGGAAACGACCGCUAAUACCGCAUACGCCCUACGGGGGAAAGGUCCGCCGGAAAAAGAGGGGCCCGCGUCUGAUUAGCUUGUUGGUAGGGUAAUGGCCUACCAAGGCAACGAUCAGUAGCUGGUCUGAGAGGAUGAUC
This 216-nucleotide ribosomal RNA is filed under the name uncultured bacterium. RNAcentral describes it as "partial 16S ribosomal RNA". It matches the Rfam family "Bacterial small subunit ribosomal RNA", at positions 72 to 305 of the family's 1533-position model. The record is from RNAcentral.